AGGGCCAUUGGCAAGUCUCUGGAUGGGCACCAGGAACGGUGGGAGGAUAACCUCAAGAUCACAGGAGACCUUCCUCAUGUGGAGGUUGAUGAGGCUGAUGAGGAGACGGUUGCGGACUACCCUCAGGCCAGGGCUGACAAGGUGUAUUCCAACGUGGAGAAGGCCCAGGAGAGACAACAGGAAGCCUACAAGAAGAGAAUGAAGAAAGGGACCAAGCGCUUCAAGGUCCUCCCAGGCAUGGUGGUCCUGAAGAAGGACGAGAGGAAGCGUGGGAGACCUGGUCGGACAAUGGAUCCAGACUGGCCAACGCAGUACCGGUAAAUCAAUUUUAAGAAUAGUUGAGGGUUG
Clupea harengus (Atlantic herring) is the source of this 348-nucleotide long non-coding RNA. The record is from Ensembl. Lineage: Eukaryota; Metazoa; Chordata; Actinopteri; Clupeiformes; Clupeidae.